The sequence is a transfer RNA, 86 nucleotides long. It matches the Rfam family "tRNA". From Rfam's summary of the family: Transfer RNA (tRNA) molecules are approximately 80 nucleotides in length. Their secondary structure includes four short double-helical elements and three loops (D, anti-codon, and T loops). The record is from Rfam.
UCUUCAGUAGUAUAGUGGUCAGUAUUUCCGCUUGUCAAGCAAUUGACAAAUCGCGGGAGACCGGGGUUCAAUUCCCCGCUGGAGAG